Molecule: ribosomal RNA, 323 nt
Filed under: uncultured prokaryote
Description: bacterial SSU rRNA
Rfam family: Bacterial small subunit ribosomal RNA
Source: RNAcentral
AGAACGAACGCUGGCGGCGUGCUUAACACAUGCAAGUCCAACGUGAAAGGGGAGCAAUCCCCCGGUAGGGGUGGCGAACGGGUGAGUAAUACAUGGGAAUCUGCCCUGGAGAUGGGGAUAUCCUUCCGAAAGGAGGGUUAAUACCGAAUAUCGUCCGGGUGACGAGAGUCAUUUGGGGAAAGGGAGGCCUCUGGCAACAUGCUUCCGCUCCGGGAGGAGCCCAUGGCCCAUCAGCUAGUUGGUAGGGUAAAGGCCUACCAAGGCUACGACGGGUCGCUGGUCUGAGAGGACGACCAGCCACACUGGCACUGAGAUACGGGCCA